This is a long non-coding RNA of Salarias fasciatus (jewelled blenny), 1055 nucleotides long. RefSeq lists it as uncharacterized. The record is from RefSeq and is a predicted model, not a curated record. The transcript is spliced from 3 exons. Lineage: Eukaryota; Metazoa; Chordata; Actinopteri; Blenniiformes; Blenniidae.
AGCCAAUCACCUGCCAUGGGAAUACGCUAAGUUUCACUAUGAUGCGCAAAAUAUUAUCCCCUCCGUGUACAGAAAGCACAGACACGGAUCUAAACGUCCUCGAAUGCCUGCAAUGGCCAUUUCACGGUGGAGUGAACUGGCGUCCAUACCUUGCCGUCUGCUCCCUGGUCCUUUCCCCAUGCGGCCAUGACGAACGCGUCAUUGACAGAAACACACGCCACCUCCUCUAUCCCUUUGUUCCUCAGGUCUCCGGCCUGCUGCACGAAGCCUGGGAGGCUCCCCCUCCUGGACCUCCACUGCAGGGAGACUUUGACCAACCUGACAGUGAUGGAGAAGACAAAGCUAUUACUGUUAACACAAGCCAUGAAACAAUAUCCCAGGAAGCAGUUGUUUUCCCAUCCCUUGAUGAAACUGUGUGUUAGAGCUAUUUAUUAGUCUGAGUAUUUUCUGAAUAUUUUCUUAUUUAUAUUGUUUGUGUUAUUUCAUAUAGUGUUUAUUUUGUUUAGAUUUAUUAUUUUGUUUAUUUUGCAUGUUUGGUUUGGGUAAUUGGUACAUUAUUUUCUGUUAGGCUUGCUUUUGUAGAGUUAAUUGGUACCACCUGCACUUGGAGGUUAUUUAGGGAGGCUGCAGGUAGAGGAUCAGUGGGCACCUGGGUGGGGCUAUGGUUUUUUUACCAGCGCGAGAGAAGCAGCAGGAAGUGAUCGCUCCAAUUGUUUGCUUGCCUUGGAGAAUAAACCAUGAUAAACCUCACUGGAAUUUUGUUGGACUAUGUUUUCUUUGCCUGCGUAAACCACAACCUGGUGCAUCAGUGGCAGUUUGAAGUUUGAGUUUUGAUUUUUGUUGCAUUUAAGACAAAUAGCCACUACACUGUGAGUUGUUGCUUUGUGAUCAUGAUGAGCCAGAGAAUAAAACGCCUAGGAAAACUCUGUUUAUAAGGAAAUUUGAUAUGCAUUUUUGCUGAUCUAGGCUUUUUUUUUUAAUGUGGCUUUUCAACAUUUUGACGUGAAUACACAUGGUGGUGUACUGUGUUAAAUUGUGGGGUGAAAACAGCCCAA